This 1026-nucleotide long non-coding RNA is filed under the name Equus asinus (donkey). RNAcentral describes it as "lncRNA (ENSEASG00005032073.1)". The record is from RNAcentral. Lineage: Eukaryota; Metazoa; Chordata; Mammalia; Perissodactyla; Equidae.
AUUUGCUGCAAGUGACAGAAUGCUUGAGUAAGAGGGCCUUAAACAAUAAGAUAUUUUUCUCACACAUCGAGAAGUCUACAGUGGAAGAUGUGGCCGUCUGGAUUCUCACGUAUGGCAAGUUCAGGCUGGAGUUGAGUGGCCACUGCUGUUCGUAAGAUGGGGCAUCUGCUCUCCAGUUCACCGUAGUCCCUACACGCCCAAAUGACAGUGCUGCCCUAAGACACAGCUCUGUAUGAAGAAUGCUGCAUACACUUGGCCCCCUCCCUUUCGAAGCUGACAGACUUGCUGUUCGGUUGGCAGUCCACAAACGUCGCUCAGGUGAUGCCCAGAUGCUGUGCACCAUUGAGAUCCUGAGCCUAACCAAUGGAACAGGGGAGAGAUGACUACAUUCCAAAUUGCAAUAAGCAUGACAAGCCAAUGAGAAAGGGUGCCAUGGGGACACGGAAGAGAGACUGCCUUACUCAGCCUGGGCUCCCAGGAAGGCUUCCAAGAAGAAGGGAUAUUUGAGUGCUGUCUGGAAAGCUGAGCCGAGAGUUGGCAGGUGCGGAAAGGAAUCGGGUGUCAGGUUGAGGCCCCUUGAGGGUGUGGCUGGUGAAGAGGAGAGCACCUGCCCCACAUUCAUUGACUGUGCAGUAUGUAUCAGGGGCCAUGCAGGGUCCUCAGGAGACAGAGAUGGAAGGGCUAAGGAAGGAAUAUGUGGACAGAACUUUGGGUGACAUCCUACCCAGCAGCACACUUCAGAACUCCAUCCUGAUAAUUAAGCCUAAAUCUAAGUCAUUCUAGAAGAUCUCUAGAUCUUCUUUAAAAUAUCCUCUACAAUGUGCAGUAUCUAUUGAAAUUAAAUAUGUGCCUAUCCCAUGACCCAGAAAGUCCAUUUCUUGAUUUCAACUAUAGAGAAAAAACUUGUUCAAAUCACUUGCUGGUGUGAAAGGGUGUACAUUGCAGCACUAUUUGGAAAAAUGAAAAAAUUGGGGAUCAACCCAAAUAUUUACGCAUAGAUGAAUGGCUGUCAGAACUAGGCUAUAC